AACGCUGGCGGCAGGCUAACACAUGCAUGUCGAACGGAUCCUUCGGGAUUAGUGGCAGACGGGUGAGUAACGCGUGGGAAGCUACCUUGUGGUAGGGGACAACAGUUGGAAACGACUGCUAAUACCCUAUGAGCCCUAUGGGGGAAAGAUUUAUCGCCAUGAGAUGUGCCCGCGUUAGAUUAGCUAGUUGGUAAGGUAAUGGCUUACCAAGGCGACGAUCUAUAGCUGGUCUGAGAGGAUGAUCAGCCACACUGGGACUGAGACACGGCCCAGACUCCUACGGGAGGCAGCAGUGGGGAAUAUUGGACAAUGGGGGCAACCCUGAUCCAGCCAUGCCGCGUGUGUGAUGACGGCCUUAGGGUUGUAAAGCACUUUCAGCAGUGAAGAUAAUGACAUUAACUGCAGAAGAAGCCCCGGCUAACUUCGUGCCAGCAGCCGCGGUAAUACGAAGGGGGCUAGCGUUGUUCGGAAUCACUGGGCGUAAAGAGUACGUAGGCGGACUGAUAAGUUAGGGGUGAAAUCCCAAGGGCUCAACCUUGGAACUGCCUUUGAUACUGUCAAGUCUUGAGAUCGAGAGAGGUGAGUGGAACUCCGAGUGUAGAGGUGAAAUUCGUAGAUAUUCCGGAAGAAACCACCCAGUGGGCGAAAGGGCGGGCUUCCACUGGGGCUCGGAUACUGGAACGCUGAAGUAACGAAAAGGCGUUGGGGGAGCCACAACAGGGAUUUAGAUAACCCUUGGGGUAGGUCCCACGCCGGUAACGAUGAAAUGCUAGUGUCAAGGGUAAGCUUGGCAAUUGGUGAACACCCAGCUAACGCAUAAGGCAUUCCGCUUGGGGGAAUUACCGGCCGCAGAAUUA
RNAcentral lists this ribosomal RNA (857 nucleotides) under Pseudovibrio sp. Pm31. RNAcentral's name for it is "bacterial SSU rRNA". It matches the Rfam family "Bacterial small subunit ribosomal RNA", at positions 32 to 873 of the family's 1533-position model. Lineage: Bacteria; Pseudomonadati; Pseudomonadota; Alphaproteobacteria; Hyphomicrobiales; Stappiaceae. The record is from RNAcentral.